ACUGACUAAGAGCUGAAAUCACUGAGUGUUGUGUUAAGUAGUGGGGGAGCCUGAAGAUAUAUUGUGGAGCAGUUUGUGGUACAGCUGGAGCAGCUUGUGGACUGGCUGGUGGAGCAGUUCAUGGGCCAGCAGGAGCUGUUUGUGGAACGCCGAGCGGAGCAGUUCGUGGACCGGCUGGUGGAGUAGUUCAUGGGACGGUGGGAGCUGCUUGUGGGACGCAGAGCAGUUUGUGGACUGGCUGGUGGAGCGGAGCGGAGCCCUAUGGAGCUGUGGGGCAGUCAGCUUCAGAUCAUCCCACAGCAUCUUUCUGAGAUACCUUUGAGAAAGACAUCCUGUCUUGAUUUGAAGAUUCCAAGUGACGGUGACCCUACCACAUCCUCGGGUGCUACAAAAGUUGAUGAUACUAAUGAUUAAUAAGGACAAUAAUGAUACUCCCUAUGGUUCUAGCUGAAGGUGCUUUCUGGGGACCCCACAGCCAAGCCUCUCUUCAUCAAUACUACUCUGCAGCACUACUUUCCUGCACAGGUGCAUGUUUGCUCCA
Molecule: long non-coding RNA, 541 nt
Organism: Chelonia mydas (Green sea turtle)
Lineage: Eukaryota; Metazoa; Chordata; Testudines; Cheloniidae
Exons: 4
Source: RefSeq, a predicted model, not a curated record